GACGUAGGGCGCGAGCGUUGUCCGGAUUUAUUGGGCGUAAAGAGCUUGUAGGCGGUUUGUCGCGUCUGCCGUGAAAUUUCGAGGCUCAACCUCGAACUUGCGGUGGGUACGGGCAGACUAGAGUGUGGUAGGGGAGACUGGAAUUCCUGGUGUAGCGGUGAAAUGCGCAGAUAUCAGGAGGAACACCGAUGGCGAAGGCAGGUCUCUGGGCCACUACUGACACUGAGAAGCGAAAGCAUGGGGAGCGAACAGG
Molecule: ribosomal RNA, 253 nt
Filed under: uncultured bacterium
Lineage: Bacteria
Description: partial 16S ribosomal RNA
Rfam family: Bacterial small subunit ribosomal RNA
Source: RNAcentral